CAAUAGCGUAUAUUAAAGUUGUUGCAGUUAAAAAGCUCGUAGUUGGAUUUCUGAUCGAGACAUCAGGUCGGGUCCGAGAGGAUCAUGUACUUUGAUUUUGUUUUGAUCAUCCUUGGGGAGAGCAUUUCUGGCAUUCAGUUGUCGGGAUUGGGAUCCUCAUCGUUUACUGUGAAAAAAUUAGAGCGUUCAAAGCAGGCCUCGGCCUCUGAAUACAUUAGCAUGGAAUAAUAAGAUAGGACUUUGGUGGUCUAUUUUGUUGGUUUGCACGCCAAAGUAAUGAUUGAUAGGGAUAGUUGGGGGUAUUCGUAUUCAAUUGUCAGAGGUGAAAUUCUUGGAUUUAUGGAAGACGAACUACUGCGAAAGCAUUUACCAAGGAUGUUUUCAUUAA
RNAcentral lists this ribosomal RNA (388 nucleotides) under uncultured eukaryote. RNAcentral's name for it is "partial 18S ribosomal RNA". It matches the Rfam family "Eukaryotic small subunit ribosomal RNA", at positions 592 to 976 of the family's 1831-position model. The record is from RNAcentral.